CCUACGGGAGGCAGCAGUUAGGAAUCUUGGACAAUGGGCGCAAGCCUGAUCCAGCCAUGCCGCGUGAGUGAUGAAGGCCUUAGGGUUGUAAAGCUCUUUCAGCGGGGAAGCGGUACCCGCAGAAGAAGCCCCGGCUAACUUCGUGCCAGCAGCCGCGGUAAUACGAAGGGGGCUAGCGUUGCUCGGAAUCACUGGGCGUAAAGCGCACGUAGGCGGCUUUCUAAGUCAGGGGUGAAAUCCUGGAGCUCAACUCCAGAACUGCCUUUGAUACUGGAGAGCUUGAGUCCGGAAGAGGUGAGUGGAACUCCGAGUGUAGAGGUGAAAUUCGUAGAUAUUCGGAAGAACACCAGUGGCGAAGGCGGCUCACUGGUCCGGACUGACGCUGAGGUGCGAAAGCGUGGGGAGCAAACAGGAUUAGAUACCCUUGUAGUC
This 432-nucleotide ribosomal RNA is filed under the name uncultured bacterium. Its description in RNAcentral is "partial 16S ribosomal RNA". It matches the Rfam family "Bacterial small subunit ribosomal RNA", at positions 338 to 795 of the family's 1533-position model. The record is from RNAcentral.